GACGAACGCUGGCGGCGUGCUUAACACAUGCAAGUCGAACGGACUCCAUUCACUCGCAAGAGUGAUGAAGAGUCAGUGGCGAACGGGUGAGUAACACGUGAGAAACCUAUCCUGGUCUCUGGGAUAACAGCCGGAAACGGCUGCUAAUACCGGAUGCCGUCGGAGCGUCGCAUGGCGCGCUGACGAAAGGGUUACUGGAUCAGGAGGGUCUCGCGGCCUAUCAGCUAGUUGGUGGGGUAACGGCCUACCAAGGCGUCGACGGGUAGCUGGUCUGAGAGGAUGAUCAGCCACACUGGGACUGAGACACGGCCCAGACUCCUACGGGAGGCAGCAGUGGGGAAUCUUGCGCAAUGGGCGAAAGCCUGACGCAGCAACGCCGCGUGCGGGAAGAAGGCCCUCGGGUUGUAAACCGCUUUCAGAAGGAACGAAAAUGACGGUACUUUCAGAAGAAGGUGCGGCCAACUACGUGC
This 470-nucleotide ribosomal RNA is filed under the name uncultured bacterium. Its description in RNAcentral is "bacterial SSU rRNA". It matches the Rfam family "Bacterial small subunit ribosomal RNA", at positions 28 to 508 of the family's 1533-position model. The record is from RNAcentral.